Molecule: ribosomal RNA, 2930 nt
Filed under: Escherichia coli
Lineage: Bacteria; Pseudomonadati; Pseudomonadota; Gammaproteobacteria; Enterobacterales; Enterobacteriaceae
Description: 23S ribosomal RNA
Rfam family: Bacterial large subunit ribosomal RNA
Source: RNAcentral
GGGUUGUGAGGUUAAGCGACUAAGCGUACACGGUGGAUGCCCUGGCAGUCAGAGGCGAUGAAGGACGUGCUAAUCUGCGAUAAGCGUCGGUAAGGUGAUAUGAACCGUUAUAACCGGCGAUUUCCGAAUGGGGAAACCCAGUGUGAUUCGUCACACUAUCAUUAACUGAAUCCAUAGGUUAAUGAGGCGAACCGGGGGAACUGAAACAUCUAAGUACCCCGAGGAAAAGAAAUCAACCGAGAUUCCCCCAGUAGCGGCGAGCGAACGGGGAGCAGCCCAGAGCCUGAAUCAGUGUGUGUGUUAGUGGAAGCGUCUGGAAAGGCGYGCGAUACAGGGUGACAGCCCCGUACACAAAAAUGCACAURCUGUGAGCUCGAUGAGUAGGGCGGGACACGUGGUAUCCUGUCUGAAUAUGGGGGGACCAUCCUCCAAGGCUAAAUACUCCUGACUGACCGAUAGUGAACCAGUACCGUGAGGGAAAGGCGAAAAGAACCCCGGCGAGGGGAGUGAAAAAGAACCUGAAACCGUGUACGUACAAGCAGUGGGAGCACGCUUAGGCGUGUGACUGCGUACCUUUUGUAUAAUGGGUCAGCGACUUAUAUUCUGUAGCAAGGUUAACCGAAUAGGGGAGCCGAAGGGAAACCGAGUCUUAACUGGGCGUUAAGUUGCAGGGUAUAGACCCGAAACCCGGUGAUCUAGCCAUGGGCAGGUUGAAGGUUGGGUAACACUAACUGGAGGACCGAACCGACUAAUGUUGAAAAAUUAGCGGAUGACUUGUGGCUGGGGGUGAAAGGCCAAUCAAACCGGGAGAUAGCUGGUUCUCCCCGAAAGCUAUUUAGGUAGCGCCUCGUGAAUUCAUCUCCGGGGGUAGAGCACUGUUUCGGCAAGGGGGUCAUCCCGACUUACCAACCCGAUGCAAACUGCGAAUACCGGAGAAUGUUAUCACGGGAGACACACGGCGGGUGCUAACGUCCGUCGUGAAGAGGGAAACAACCCAGACCGCCAGCUAAGGUCCCAAAGUCAUGGUUAAGUGGGAAACGAUGUGGGAAGGCCCAGACAGCCAGGAUGUUGGCUUAGAAGCAGCCAUCAUUUAAAGAAAGCGUAAUAGCUCACUGGUCGAGUCGGCCUGCGCGGAAGAUGUAACGGGGCUAAACCAUGCACCGAAGCUGCGGCAGCGACRCUUAUGYGUUGUUGGGUAGGGGAGCGUUCUGUAAGCCUGYGAAGGUGURCUGUGAGGYAUGCUGGAGGUAUCAGAAGUGCGAAUGCUGACAUAAGUAACGAUAAAGCGGGUGAAAAGCCCGCUCGCCGGAAGACCAAGGGUUCCUGUCCAACGUUAAUCGGGGCAGGGUGAGUCGACCCCUAAGGCGAGGCCGAAAGGCGUAGUCGAUGGGAAACAGGUUAAUAUUCCUGUACUUGGUGUUACUGCGAAGGGGGGACGGAGAAGGCUAUGUUGGCCGGGCGACGGUUGUCCCGGUUUAAGCGUGUAGGCUGGUUUUCCAGGCAAAUCCGGAAAAYYAAGGCUGAGGCGUGAUGACGAGGCACUACGGUGCUGAAGCAACAAAUGCCCUGCUUCCAGGAAAAGCCUCUAAGCAUCAGGUAACAUCAAAUCGUACCCCAAACCGACACAGGUGGUCAGGUAGAGAAUACCAAGGCGCUUGAGAGAACUCGGGUGAAGGAACUAGGCAAAAUGGUGCCGUAACUUCGGGAGAAGGCACGCUGAUAUGUAGGUGAAGUCCCUCGCGGAUGGAGCUGAAAUCAGUCGAAGAUACCAGCUGGCUGCAACUGUUUAUUAAAAACACAGCACUGUGCAAACACGAAAGUGGACGUAUACGGUGUGACGCCUGCCCGGUGCCGGAAGGUUAAUUGAUGGGGUYAGCGCAAGCGAAGCUCUUGAUCGAAGCCCCGGUAAACGGCGGCCGUAACUAUAACGGUCCUAAGGUAGCGAAAUUCCUUGUCGGGUAAGUUCCGACCUGCACGAAUGGCGUAAUGAUGGCCAGGCUGUCUCCACCCGAGACUCAGUGAAAUUGAACUCGCUGUGAAGAUGCAGUGUACCCGCGGCAAGACGGAAAGACCCCGUGAACCUUUACUAUAGCUUGACACUGAACAUUGAGCCUUGAUGUGUAGGAUAGGUGGGAGGCUUKGAAGUGUGGACGCCAGUCUGCAUGGAGCCGACCUUGAAAUACCACCCUUUAAUGUUUGAUGUUCUAACGUUGACCCGUAAUCCGGGUUGCGGACAGUGUCUGGUGGGUAGUUUGACUGGGGCGGUCUCCUCCUAAAGAGUAACGGAGGAGCACGAAGGUUGGCUAAUCCUGGUCGGACAUCAGGAGGUUAGUGCAAUGGCAUAAGCCAGCUUGACUGCGAGCGUGACGGCGCGAGCAGGUGCGAAAGCAGGUCAUAGUGAUCCGGUGGUUCUGAAUGGAAGGGCCAUCGCUCAACGGAUAAAAGGUACUCCGGGGAUAACAGGCUGAUACCGCCCAAGAGUUCAUAUCGACGGCGGUGUUUGGCACCUCGAUGUCGGCUCAUCACAUCCUGGGGCUGAAGUAGGUCCCAAGGGUAUGGCUGUUCGCCAUUUAAAGUGGUACGCGAGCUGGGUUUAGAACGUCGUGAGACAGUUCGGUCCCUAUCUGCCGUGGGCGCUGGAGAACUGAGGGGGGCUGCUCCUAGUACGAGAGGACCGGAGUGGACGCAUCACUGGUGUUCGGGUUGUCAUGCCAAUGGCACUGCCCGGUAGCUAAAUGCGGAAGAGAUAAGUGCUGAAAGCAUCUAAGCACGAAACUUGCCCCGAGAUGAGUUCUCCCUGACUCCUUGAGAGUCCUGAAGGAACGUUGAAGACGACGACGUUGAUAGGCCGGGUGUGUAAGCGCAGCGAUGCGUUGAGCUAACCGGUACUAAUGAACCGUGAGGCUUAACCUUACAACGCCGAAGSUGUU